This is an RNA transcript of Hypanus sabinus (Atlantic stingray), 3676 nucleotides long. It is a transcript of the gene named taspase, threonine aspartase, 1, with no coding region annotated. The transcript is spliced from 15 exons. NCBI's taxonomy places the organism in Eukaryota, Metazoa, Chordata, Chondrichthyes, Myliobatiformes, Dasyatidae. The record is from RefSeq and is a predicted model, not a curated record.
UCCGUUCAUUCAGCCGCGAGCGCGGCGGUGCUGACCGCGGAGAAGAGCUGUCAAUCAUUCGUGGGGGCGGUCCUCUCCGCUCCGUCCCCCUCCAGUGCCAGCUUGACCGACCGAUGGAAGGGGAACGGUAUGGCGGUUGAGUGUGACCAUGGAGGCUGCGGGGAGCGGGUGCCUGGGAGCUGCGGAUGCACACCCUCCUGGCGGGGCCUGGCCCGGUGCCGCUGAAGGAGCCGCGCCGAUGAGGAGAAGCGAUCGAGAAGCGGCCGUGGACGGGAGGAACGUGGGGUUUGUGCUUGUGCAUGCAGGAGCGGGUUAUCAUUCUGAAUCAAAAGCAAAGGAGUAUAAACAAGUUUGCAAGAAAGCUUGCCAAAAGGCAAUAGAGAAACUGCAAACAGGUGCCCUUGCUGUUGAUGUAGUGGCAGCAGCCCUCAUUGAAUUAGAGGACUCUCCCUUCACUAAUGCAGGAAUGGGUUCCAAUUUAAAUCUCUCAGGAGAUAUAGAGUGUGAUGCCAGUACAAUGGAUGGAAAAACUUUGAAUUUUGGAGCUGUUGGAGCACUCAGGGGGAUCAAGAAUCCAAUCUUAGUUGCAAAUAAACUGUUAAAUGAAGCACAGAAGGGGAAGCUCUCUGCUGGCAGAAUUCCUCCUUGUUUUUUAGUCGGAGAAGGGGCUUACAAGUGGGCAGUGGAUCAUGGAAUUGUACCAUGUCCUCCUGACAUAUUGGCAACAAAAUUCAGCUUAUCUGCGUUUAGGAAAAACAGACGAAAACUGGAACUUGCAGAGAAGGUGGAAACAGAAAUGAUUCAGACAAAGAAGAGAAGAGAAGUGUCUGAAAACACUAACGUCACAACUUCACUUGAUACUGUUGGGGCAGUGGUGGUGGACCAUGAAGGAAAUGUUGCUGCUGCUGUUUCAAGUGGAGGCUUAGCAAUGAAGCACCCUGGGAGAGUUGGCCAAGCAGCUGUAUACGGGUGCGGUUGCUGGGCAGAAAAUACAGGUGGCCGUAAUGUGUAUUCUACAGCUGUGAGUACAUCAGGUUGUGGUGAACAUCUGGUACGAACUAUGUUGGCCAGGGAAUGCUCAGUGGCUCUACAGGCUGAAGAUGCCCACCAAGCCUUAUUGGAGACUAUGCAAAAGAAAUUUGUUCGUUCACCAUUCCUAGCCCGUGAGGACUCUGUACUUGGUGGAGUGAUCGUUCUCCGUUGUUGCAGAUGUUCAAUAGAGUCUGAGUCAUCAUUGAAUACACAAGCUCUUCUAGUUGAGUUUUUAUGGAGUCACACCACGGAGAGUAUGUGUGUUGGGUACAUGUCGACACAAGAUGGAAAAGCCAAGAUCCCUGAAGGAUUGCUGUACGCGGAUUUUUACGGAGACGUGGCUCAGUGCGCUGGUUCCUGAUGGGGUUGUGGAGCUAACUAACCGGACACUACACCACGCAGACCGAACAAAGGACUCCGUCUCAAAGAUCAACGGGUUGGCGACCACUAGUGUAGACGGUGUGACAGCAGACAAGAAAAUAAAGAUAUUCCCAAACCAGAAACUGUGGAUGAAUAAACAGACUCACAUAUCAAGACUUCCACCAGGAGCUGUGGCAGGGCAAUCACUGGCAAUUGAAGGUGGUGUUUGCAGGCUUCGAACCUCUGUGAAUUGAAUGUUUCACUUCAAUAAUUCUACCACACACAGAAUCAGAUGGACUAACUAUAGUCUACUUCUUAUAUUUUAAUUAUAUAAAUGUGAUUAUAAAAAGCAGAUUGUGAAGUUUAUCUUUUUUUGGUACCACAAUAAAAAUUGCACUUUGUACUUUAUAUAUCCUGAUUAUGCAAGUACUUGCUGCUUUUUUUUACCCAUAUUAUCUGCUUAAAACAAAGAUGAUUGUAAUUAACUUUGCUGGAAUGUUCAAAAGUUUACCUUUUUUUUUUCUUGAUUAGUACACACAUUGUUCCAAAAAGAUAAAUGAAAGAAAACCACCCUUCCAGAUUACUUGAGUUUCAAUCAAUGCAUCCAUGCUUUUAAUCUAAAAGGAUCAGGAUCGUGUUACUUUGGCACUUGAUUCGGUAACUAGUAAGUGCCUGUGAUUUCAUCAUUAUUGAUAACAUCACAAGUUUUUUGGCUAGUUAUGAUAAUAUUUACCAAUGUUUGGCUGUUAGUUAAUGUGAGGUUUGCUCGGAUAAAUACAUUUUGCUUAUAGAGAUACUGAUAAAAGAUAUGAUUGUGUGCACAAUAUGCUGAUAUUGUAUAAAACAGCAUUAAAUGAUUUAAAUGUGAAACUUAACCAUGCUGUUAGUACUGUCAUGCAGGACAUGAUAUUGAAUUUAUAGCAAUUUGACUGAAAAUUUGAUGGCAUGUAAGAGUGGGUGAAAAUUAUAUGCUUAAGAUAAAAACAGUAAAAUUGUAGAUUUAACUAGACUUCGUGCAAUGUAUGUAGAUCCUAAAUGUUUUUAUUUUUUAUUUUAAAUUGCGUACAAUUAACAUAUUUGAUACACAAGUCAAAUUGUAUUAUGAUAUCCUGUAAAACAGUACUUCAUUCACAUUUUUUGUUUGGUUUUGUUUCAACAACAAUUGGUAUGUGAGAAUAUCUGAUUUUGCUGACUUAACCAAUUUAUGCAGUUUCGAUUGAACAGGAGCAUCCAAGCGCAGGACCUGUCUAUGGCAACGUAUGUAGAGGCAUUUAGUAUGAGUAUUAAAAACAAUUUUAAUGCUGAAUCACAUAAGGUGAUAGAGUGACCAAAGUCUGGGCAGAGAGAUAGGUUUAGGGAAUCAGAAGAAGAAAUGGAGAAAUUUAUGGAGGAAAUUCCAAGGCUUUAGAAUCUUAGAGGGAUAACACCACCACCAAUGAGGGAACAAUUGAAAUUAUGUAGCUUUUAACGUCUAUUUAUCUGUUGGCUUCAUAGAUUUGGUUGACAAUUUGUAGGAAUCCUGUGAAAUCCUGAUUCACUGGGAGCAGUGCUUGUUAAAUGCUUGAUUUUAUCUAAUAUAAUAAGCCAGAGCUAGUCUUUUUUAAUUGUGGAUCCAGGACAAUCAAAGAUAAAGAGUGCAAUCAUUUCCUAAAAGUGUACAAUCUUUCCAUAUUAUGAAAAGUAUUUUGAAACUUCUAUGUAAUAACUUCUGUCAUUCUUUCCUAUAUACAUUUGAUGGUUAUCAUCACUGUAUUUCUGGAUUCUGAGUUAAAGAUAUGCCUCAAAGCUACAUAUUAAGCAAUAUCAAUAUUUAUUAUAUAGGUUAGUGUAGUUUUGUUUUCUGUUUUGGAAUGCCAAUCUAUUUAAUUUUAAAAGUGUGAUAGAAAACUAUAAAGGACUACCUUUGAUACCUCCCUCGACCAUCUAGGAAAACUAGCAAGUGGGAGUUUGUGAUUAGUUUAUGAAAAUGUUUAAAUUCAUUUUACAGCUAUGAAAACUUAAGUAAAAUAAGCAAUUUGGAGAAGUUCAUUGACAGAAUUUAUAUUUUACUGUUGAAUUUAAAUGUGCUAUUUUAUAUUGAGUUUACAGCAAAGAUAAAUAGUCUUAAAUGUAGCUCUUGAGCAAAGCUUGAACGUAUCAGAGCUGGUGUUGCACUGUACUAAUUCCAUUAUAUUGUAUGUAGACUGUCGGGGCUAAAUGAAAAGCUUUCAUUGGUGCUUUUAAAUUGAUUACAAAACAUGUUAAUGUUUUAUAUGCUUUAAUAAAAUUUUGCAGAUUUCUCUCA